UGGGCAUAUUUUUUCUACCAGAUAUAGCGAAUUAAUGUGAGCCAUUUUAAACUAUGUUUUUCGGCGUUGAGGCGUGCCCUGGCGGCAACGUCCGCACGAAAAUAAGGCUGUAAACCGCAAUGUGUGCGAAUUAUUGGCAAAAGGCAACCGCAGGCUGCCUUUUUCUUU
This 168-nucleotide small RNA is filed under the name Citrobacter rodentium ICC168. Its description in RNAcentral is "SraB RNA". It matches the Rfam family "SraB RNA". From Rfam's summary of the family: This RNA was discovered in E. coli during a large scale screen. This ncRNA was found to be expressed only in stationary phase. Lineage: Bacteria; Pseudomonadati; Pseudomonadota; Gammaproteobacteria; Enterobacterales; Enterobacteriaceae. The record is from Rfam by way of RNAcentral.